CCUGGUCUGGCUGCUUAUAAUGCUUUUACAAUCUCAACAAUUUCGACACAUCAAAGUGGUGAAAUGCAUCACAUAAUGCUGUUUGUGUGCGGCUGGAAGCUAAAAACAACAGCUGAGAUUAUUUCUGAGAUAUCUACCUCUUACAUUUGGGCCUGAAAGCCCAAUACAAUACAAUAUACAAUGGAGGAAAUAGUUAUCUGUGGAGUUUGGGGUGAAGGCAGACAUUUUAGAGUUGGAUAUCUCAAAACCUGACUAGAUACCACAAGAG
This is a long non-coding RNA of Micropterus dolomieu (smallmouth bass), 268 nucleotides long. RefSeq lists it as uncharacterized. The record is from RefSeq and is a predicted model, not a curated record. NCBI's taxonomy places the organism in Eukaryota, Metazoa, Chordata, Actinopteri, Centrarchiformes, Centrarchidae. The transcript is spliced from 3 exons.